CCUACGGGGGGCUGCAGUGGGGAAUAUUGGACAAUGGGGGCAACCCUGAUCCAGCCAUGCCGCGUGUGUGAAGAAGGCCCUCGGGUUGUAAAGCACUUUCAGUGAGGAAGAACGCCUGGUGGUUAAUACCCAUCAGGAAAGACAUCACUCACAGAAGAAGCACCGGCUAACUCCGUGCCAGCAGCCGCGGUAAUACGGAGGGUGCGAGCGUUAAUCGGAAUUACUGGGCGUAAAGCGCGCGUAGGUGGCUUGAUAAGCCGGUUGUGAAAGCCCCGGGCUCAACCUGGGAACGGCAUCCGGAACUGUCAAGCUAGAGUGCAGGAGAGGAAGGUAGAAUUCCCGGUGUAGCGGUGAAAUGCGUAGAGAUCGGGAGGAAUACCAGUGGCGAAGGCGGCCUUCUGGACUGACACUGACACUGAGGUGCGAAAGCGUGGGUAGCAAACAGGAUUAGUACCCGAGUAGUC
Molecule: ribosomal RNA, 464 nt
Filed under: Vreelandella stevensii
Lineage: Bacteria; Pseudomonadati; Pseudomonadota; Gammaproteobacteria; Oceanospirillales; Halomonadaceae
Description: partial 16S ribosomal RNA
Rfam family: Bacterial small subunit ribosomal RNA
Source: RNAcentral